Molecule: ribosomal RNA, 434 nt
Filed under: uncultured bacterium
Lineage: Bacteria
Description: partial 16S ribosomal RNA
Rfam family: Bacterial small subunit ribosomal RNA
Source: RNAcentral
AGCGAACGCUGGCGGCAGGCCUAACACAUGCAAGUCGAACGAACCUUUCGGGGUUAGUGGCGGACGGGUGAGUAACACGUGGGAACGUGCCUUUAGGUUCGGAAUAACUCAGGGAAACUUGUGCUAAUACCGAAUGUGCCCUUCGGGGGAAAGAUUUAUCGCCUUUAGAGCGGCCCGCGUCUGAUUAGCUAGUUGGUUGAGGUAAUGGCUCAUCAAGGCGACGAUCAGUAGCUGGUCUGAGAGGAUGAUCAGCCACAUUGGGACUGAGACACGGCCCAAACUCCUACGGGAGGCAGCAGUGGGGAAUCUUGCGCAAUGGGCGAAAGCCUGACGCAGCCAUGCCGCGUGAAUGAUGAAGGUCUUAGGAUUGUAAAAUUCUUUCACCGGGGACGAUAAUGACGGUACCCGGAGAAGAAGCCCCGGCUAACUUCGUG